RNAcentral lists this ribosomal RNA (644 nucleotides) under Microbacterium sp. RNAcentral describes it as "bacterial SSU rRNA". It matches the Rfam family "Bacterial small subunit ribosomal RNA", at positions 210 to 865 of the family's 1533-position model. Lineage: Bacteria; Bacillati; Actinomycetota; Actinomycetes; Micrococcales; Microbacteriaceae. The record is from RNAcentral.
AUUUUUUGGUCAGGGAUGAGCUCGCGGCCUAUCAGCUUGUUGGUGAGGUAAUGGCUCACCAAGGCGUCGACGGGUAGCCGGCCUGAGAGGGUGACCGGCCACACUGGGACUGAGACACGGCCCAGACUCCUACGGGAGGCAGCAGUGGGGAAUAUUGCACAAUGGGCGCAAGCCUGAUGCAGCAACGCCGCGUGAGGGAUGACGGCCUUCGGGUUGUAAACCUCUUUUAGCAGGGAAGAAGCGAAAGUGACGGUACCUGCAGAAAAAGCGCCGGCUAACUACGUGCCAGCAGCCGCGGUAAUACGUAGGGCGCAAGCGUUAUCCGGAAUUAUUGGGCGUAAAGAGCUCGUAGGCGGUUUGUCGCGUCUGCUGUGAAAUCCCGAGGCUCAACCUCGGGUCUGCAGUGGGUACGGGCAGACUAGAGUGCGGUAGGGGAGAUUGGAAUUCCUGGUGUAGCGGUGGAAUGCGCAGAUAUCAGGAGGAACACCGAUGGCGAAGGCAGAUCUCUGGGCCGUAACUGACGCUGAGGAGCGAAAGGGUGGGGAGCAAACAGGCUUAGAUACCCUGGUAGUCCACCCCGUAAACGUUGGGAACUAGUUGUGGGGUCCAUUCCACGGAUUCCGUGACGCAGCUAACGCAUAAGU